CGGAGGGUGCGAGCGUUGUCCGGAAUCACUGGGCGUAAAGGGCGCGUAGGUGGCUCGGCAAGCGUGCGGUGAAAGUUCGGGGCUCAACCCCGAAUCGGCCGUGGCGAACUGCCAAGCUUGAGCACUGUAGAGGCAGAUGGAAUUCCGGGUGUAGCGGUGGAAUGCGUAGAGAUCCGGAAGAACACCGGUGGCGAAGGCGGUCUGCUGGGCAGUUGCUGACACUGAGGCGCGACAGCGUGGGGAGCAAACAGGAUUAGAUACCCUGGUAGUCCACGCCGUAAACGAUGGGCACUAGAUGCUUGGGGGAGCGACCCCCUGAGUGUCGGCGCUAACGCAUUAAGUGCCCCGCCUGGGGAGUACGGCCGCAAGGCUG
Molecule: ribosomal RNA, 373 nt
Filed under: uncultured organism
Description: bacterial SSU rRNA
Rfam family: Bacterial small subunit ribosomal RNA
Source: RNAcentral